AUAUUUUUUUCAGCCUUUUGGCUAAGAUAAGGUGUGAUAUUUGUUCUUAUCAGUUAAUAUCUUAUAUAUAGACCACAUGUUUACUCUGGCAUUAUUAUUUUAAUUUUAUAGGUAUCAAAUAUGAUUGUGUGUCGUCGCAACGUAC
RNAcentral lists this small nuclear RNA (145 nucleotides) under Zea mays. RNAcentral's name for it is "U2 spliceosomal RNA". It matches the Rfam family "U2 spliceosomal RNA". Rfam says of the family: U2 is a small nuclear RNA (snRNA) component of the spliceosome (involved in pre-mRNA splicing). Complementary binding between U2 snRNA (in an area lying towards the 5' end but 3' to hairpin I) and the branchpoint sequence (BPS) of the intron results the bulging out of an unpaired adenosine, on the BPS, which initiates a nucleophilic attack at the intronic 5' splice site, thus starting the first of two transesterification reactions that mediate splicing. The record is from Rfam by way of RNAcentral. Lineage: Eukaryota; Viridiplantae; Streptophyta; Magnoliopsida; Poales; Poaceae.